RNAcentral lists this transfer RNA (74 nucleotides) under Pythium insidiosum. RNAcentral's name for it is "tRNA-Phe". It matches the Rfam family "tRNA". Rfam says of the family: Transfer RNA (tRNA) molecules are approximately 80 nucleotides in length. Lineage: Eukaryota; Oomycota; Peronosporomycetes; Pythiales; Pythiaceae. The record is from RNAcentral.
GCUUUGAUAGCUCAGUUGGGAGAGCGUCAGACUGAAGAUCUGAAGGUCCCUGGUUCGAUCCCGGGUUCAAAGCA